GGAGCCACUUUGGGGCGGCUGUGUGACCUUGGCCAUGCUUAAUCUCACUGUGUCUCCAUUUCAUCCUUGGUAAAAUGGAAAUAUUAACAGCUACCUCGAGGGACAGCCAAGCACUAACGCCUGUGAGUUGAUGCACUUAACACAGUGAUUGGCACACGGUAAAAGCUCUACAUUCCCUCAUAUACAAAACAAGGAAAUUGGAC
Choloepus didactylus (southern two-toed sloth) is the source of this 203-nucleotide long non-coding RNA. RefSeq lists it as uncharacterized. The record is from RefSeq and is a predicted model, not a curated record. The transcript has 3 exons. NCBI's taxonomy places the organism in Eukaryota, Metazoa, Chordata, Mammalia, Pilosa, Megalonychidae.